UAAUCGCAGAUCAGCAUGCUGCGGUGAAUACGUUCCCGGGCCUUGUACACACCGCCCGUCACACCAUGGGAGUCGGUAACACCCGAAGUCGGUAGCCUAACCGUAAGGAGGGCGCCGCCGAAGGUGGGAUUGAUGACUGGGGUGAAGUCGUAACAAGGUAUC
RNAcentral lists this ribosomal RNA (162 nucleotides) under uncultured bacterium. RNAcentral's name for it is "partial 16S ribosomal RNA". It matches the Rfam family "Bacterial small subunit ribosomal RNA", at positions 1339 to 1500 of the family's 1533-position model. The record is from RNAcentral.